This 258-nucleotide ribosomal RNA is filed under the name uncultured bacterium. RNAcentral's name for it is "partial 16S ribosomal RNA". It matches the Rfam family "Bacterial small subunit ribosomal RNA", at positions 78 to 339 of the family's 1533-position model. The record is from RNAcentral.
UGCUAGAUUGAUGGCGAGUGGCGAACGGGUGAGUAAUACAUCGGAACGUGCCCUGUAGUGGGGGAUAACUAGUCGAAAGAUUAGCUAAUACCGCAUACGAUCUACGGAUGAAAGCAGGGGAUCGCAAGACCUUGCGCGAAUGGAGCGGCCGAUGGCAGAUUAGGUAGUUGGUGAGGUAAAGGCCUACCAAGGCGACGAUCCGUAACUGGUCUGAGAGGAUGAUCAGUCACACUGGAACUGAGACACGGUCCAGACUCC